AUUGAACGCUGGCGGCAGGCUUAACACAUGCAAGUCGAGCGGUAACAGACAGAGCUUGCUCUGUGCUGACGAGCGGCGGACGGGUGAGUAACGCGUAGGAAUCUGCCCAGUAGCGGGGGAUAGCCCGGGGAAACCCGGAUUAAUACCGCAUACGCCCCACGGGGGAAAGCAGGGGAUCUUCGGACCUUGCGCUAUUGGAUGAGCCUGCGUCGGAUUAGCUAGUUGGUGGGGUAAAAGCCUACCAAGGCGACGAUCCGUAGCUGGUCUGAGAGGAUGAUCAGCCACACCGGGACUGAGACAACGGCCCGGACUCCUACGGGAGGCAGCAGUGGGGAAUAUUGGACAAUGGGGGCAACCCUGAUCCAGCCAUGCCGCGUGUGUGAAGAAGGCUUUCGGGUUGUAAAGCACUUUCAGUGAGGAGGAAAUGCCUGGGGCGAAUAGCUUCGGGUUUUGACGUUUACUCACAGAAGAAGCACCGGCUAACUCCGUGCCAGCCGCCGCGGUAAUU
This 508-nucleotide ribosomal RNA is filed under the name uncultured bacterium. Its description in RNAcentral is "bacterial SSU rRNA". It matches the Rfam family "Bacterial small subunit ribosomal RNA", at positions 30 to 525 of the family's 1533-position model. The record is from RNAcentral.